This 305-nucleotide unclassified non-coding RNA is filed under the name uncultured Xylariales. Its description in RNAcentral is "sequence contains ITS1". The stretch from base 1 to 105 matches the Rfam family "5.8S ribosomal RNA", at positions 50 to 154 of the family's 154-position model. Lineage: Eukaryota; Fungi; Ascomycota; Sordariomycetes; Xylariales. The record is from RNAcentral. RNAcentral also lists the same sequence under 1 other name.
GAAAUGCGAUAAGUAAUGUGAAUUGCAGAAUUCAGUGAAUCAUCGAAUCUUUGAACGCACAUUGCGCCCAUUAGUAUUCUAGUGGGCAUGCCUGUUCGAGCGUCAUUACAACCCUUAAGCCUAGCUGCUUAGUGUUGGGAAUUCACCGUAACUGGUGACUCCUCAAAGGUAUUGGCGGAGUCGAGUCGAACUCUGAGCGUAGUAAUUCUUUUUCUCGCUUCUGAACUCCUCUCGGCGACAGCCACAAACCUACUAUACUUCUAGUGUUUGACCUCGGAUCAGGUAGGAAUACCCGCUGAACUUAA